UACAGAGGUCUCAAGCGUUGUUCGGAUUCAUUGGGCGUAAAGCGUGCGCAGGCGGUUGUGCAAGACAGAUGUGAAAUCCCCGGGCUUAACCUGGGAACUGCAUUUGUGACUGCACAGCUGGAGUGCGGCAGAGGGGGAUGGAAUUCCGCGUGUAGCAGUGAAAUGCGUAGAUAUGCGGAGGAACACCGAUGGCGAAGGCAAUCCCCUGGGCCUGCACUGACGCUCAUGCACGAAAGCGUGGGGAGCAAACAGG
Molecule: ribosomal RNA, 253 nt
Filed under: uncultured bacterium
Lineage: Bacteria
Description: partial 16S ribosomal RNA
Rfam family: Bacterial small subunit ribosomal RNA
Source: RNAcentral